Molecule: ribosomal RNA, 468 nt
Filed under: uncultured bacterium
Lineage: Bacteria
Description: partial 16S ribosomal RNA
Rfam family: Bacterial small subunit ribosomal RNA
Source: RNAcentral
GACGAACGCUGGCGGCGUGCUUAACACAUGCAAGUCGAACGGAAAGGUCCUGCCUUUGUUUGGUGCUCGAGUGGCGAACGGGUGAGUAACACGUGAGUAACCUGCUCUUGACUUUGGGAUAACUUCAGGAAACUGGGGCUAAUACCGGAUAGGAGCUCCUGCUGCAUGGUGGGGGUUGGUAAGUUUCGGUGGUUGGGGAUGUACUCGCGGCUUAUCAGCUUGUUGGUGGGGUAGUGGCUUACCAAGGCCUUGACGGGUAGCCGGGCCGAGAGCGGUACCGUACACGCUGGGACUGGGGUACCGCCCAGAAUGCUUGUGGAGGCAGCAGGCGAAAGUAUUGCAGAAUAAGGCGAAGACUUAUACGGCAGCUCCGCGUGCGGUAUAACAGCCUUUUAGUUAUAAACCACAUUCGCAUGUGACGAAGAGUGAGUGACGGUAUUGAGUAAGGAAGCACCGGCUAACUACGUG